GAGGAUAUAGCUCAGUGGAAGAGUGCAUGCCUAGCAUGCAUGAGGUCCUGGCUUCAAUCCCCAGUACCUCU
RNAcentral lists this transfer RNA (71 nucleotides) under Camelus bactrianus (Bactrian camel). It matches the Rfam family "tRNA". Rfam says of the family: Transfer RNA (tRNA) molecules are approximately 80 nucleotides in length. Their secondary structure includes four short double-helical elements and three loops (D, anti-codon, and T loops). Lineage: Eukaryota; Metazoa; Chordata; Mammalia; Artiodactyla; Camelidae. RNAcentral also lists the same sequence under 2 other names. The record is from Rfam by way of RNAcentral.